UCUGGUGGCGAUGGCGGGGAGGAAACACCCGAUCCCAUUCCGAACUCGGUAGUUAAGCUCCCCUGCGCCGAUGAUACUGCGCCUUAAGGUGUGGGAAAGUAGGUCACUGCCAGGA
Molecule: ribosomal RNA, 115 nt
Filed under: Magnetococcales bacterium
Lineage: Bacteria; Pseudomonadati; Pseudomonadota; Magnetococcia; Magnetococcales
Source: RNAcentral